Molecule: long non-coding RNA, 1031 nt
Filed under: Fragaria vesca (wild strawberry)
Lineage: Eukaryota; Viridiplantae; Streptophyta; Magnoliopsida; Rosales; Rosaceae
Description: long non-coding RNA (FVES_LNC004555)
Source: RNAcentral
AGUGGGGCGAGGUCCCGCAGGAGGUUAAGGACAUGGUCCACAACGCGAUGUCGGUCAGUUUAUAAAAUGCCUGAAUAAUAUUAUGUAUUACAUUGUACAUUUCUGGAAAAACUAAACUAAUAAACGGUUAAAUGCAGGCGUGGUUUGAGGUUCUCGAGCCCUUGAAGAGCAGCUGGGCGGACUUUGUGCAUGGAGGAAGGUACGUUGGGAAAUUAAUGAAUAAACAAAACUGUAUGUCAUAUUAAUAAUAUUUCUAAUAUUUUUGUUGUAUCUGUAGGUACAAGGAGUGGAAGAACGAGUUGCGGACCCAUUGGACUACGCACGGGAACGCACGUUCUGCUACCCCUGCUGAGUUCCAGUACAGAGAGUACGAGUGGCGUUGGCUUCUGACAUCAGAAUUCAACAACCCUCGUAAAUAGGUAUUUAAAUAAAUUAAUUAGUUAAUUUAUCAUUAAGUACGUGCGUUUUAAAAUAUUUUACUAAUAGUUUACUUUUUUCUUUGAAGGCGGUUUCCCGGGUGAACGCUCAGAACCGGCAACGCAACACAAGGAACCAUCAUGCCGGUUCUAGAUCGUUCGCUGUCUUCAUGGACGAGGCGGCCAGGGAACAUCCAGAGGUCAACCAGUACGUCUAUACGUACGAGAGGGCAUAUCCUGACUCUCAGGAGGAUAUAGUAAGUACUAUUUCCUUUUUACGGAAUUUUUAAUUUUACUUAUAUAUAUGUCAAAAUGUUAAUUAAUAAUUUUUUUCCUAUCCAAUUAGGCAAAGGUGAGGGAGCCAGUGACGAGGUGAUGAGUGCUAUAGUGAGGGAGACAUGGCCGGACACGCAGGAGGAAGAGAUGUCCGAAGCCAUUUCCCGGAUCGACACUUCAGAUCCGAGGGUUGGGGCGAGGAUCAUGGGCACAGCCUUCCCACCGCGAGAAAACAACUUUUACUGCCGGGGUCUAGGAAAGAAGGGCCAGGGGGUCCUGAAGACCACUCCAGGAUUUCAACGAAAGGCGGGCUCGACCAACAGCAGGACGGCUCAGCUA